RNAcentral lists this ribosomal RNA (378 nucleotides) under uncultured eukaryote. Its description in RNAcentral is "partial 18S ribosomal RNA". It matches the Rfam family "Eukaryotic small subunit ribosomal RNA", at positions 592 to 976 of the family's 1831-position model. The record is from RNAcentral.
CAAUAGCGUAUAUUUAAGUUGUUGCAGUUAAAAAGCUCGUAGUUGGAUUUCGGGUGGGACGCAGCGGUCUCGCAUUGCGUUUGUACUGCUGCAGCCCUCCUUCUUGCCGGGGGCGGCCUCUCGGACUUCACUGUCUGGGGGUCAGAAUCGGCGAUGUUACUUUGAGUAAAUUAGAGUGUUCAAAGCAAGCUUACGCUCUGAAUAUAAUAGCAUGGGAUAACACGACAGGACUCUGGCCUAUCGUGUUGGUCUAUAGGACCAGAGAAAUGAUUAAGAGGGACAGUCGGGGGCAUUCGUAUUCCGUUGUCAGAGGUGAAAUUCUUGGAUUUACGGAAGACGAACAUCUGCGAAAGCAUUUGCCAAGGAUGUUUUCAUUGA